GCCGUCAUUACAUAUAUACGUAUAUCUUUGAGGACAGCAUAAUUAAAAAUUGCACAGGCCUAAAAAGAGAUUUGGUAUAAGAACAUCCCAACUCAUACUGGUUAGAUUUUAUGCAAACUGACAUUUGUCAUUAUGACAUUUUCUGGCAAAUUAAAAAGUAGCCUACAUCAGCAACCAUCCAGCUUGUAUUGCAUUAGUAAUAAGUAAUAUGACAAUGUGAUUAACAUAAUAUAUACUUUGCAAGGGCACCAUCGCUGCAUCCUGAGCUUAGCACCGCCCAAGACGACUGUGAUUGGUUUGAAGAAAUACAAACAAGCUUUUGUUAGCUUUAUACUAUCUGUACCAGAAUGAUAAUGUGUGGAGCCAGACGUUUCUUUAGAGCUGACACAGCGCUGUGGAGAUAGAUCUGGCUAUGCAAGACUACAACACUCUCAUUCAUGGGCUCUCUCAUACCCCUUUCACACCGAGGACUCAACCAAGGUUGAACCAGGGUUGAUUGUGUGUAUGAAAGGGUUAACCCGCGUUGACUGACUCAGCUUCUCAACCCAGGUCACCGUGGCUCAUAAACAAACGGUGCCACAGCAGCAGGAAUGUUUUCCGACACACGACACGAGGGACGAGAACAACACGGAUGUGUGGCGAGACAUCGAGGUGCGGGAGCUUCUGGCCGUCCGCGGUGAAGAAGAAAAAAAGCGGUAGAUGACGUGAUGGAGAGAGAUAGAUGCUGUAAAUCUGUACAGCAUGUUGUCUGUAUGUUUUUGCAUACAUUACAGCUCCAUACAUACAACAUACGGUAGUUAAACUAAAAAUGCUGUGCAUGCAUUAUUCUGUGACAUUUUUGCACACAUUGAUGAUGCCACUAUCAUCUCCUCUCUCUAUAAUCCUCCACACCUGUAAACUCCCCCCCCCGGCUCAUAUCUAACACCUGAGCUAAGUGGUAUGCAUUGCUCCCGGGUGUGACCCAGAUCGUAUCUGAUAUCUGACCCGGGUUGACUGACUUGGUUUGAAUUGACAACAGGAGGGUUGAAUCAGGGUCAGACAACAGAGUGAAGUGCGACACCCAGUGGAAAUAUUCUGUAUACAGGUCGGGUCCGAUGUUUGGCUCACUUUAAAAAACGGUUUAAGCAUUUUUACACACGGCCCAACCCCACCAGUUAGAUCAGCCUCUAACCCGUAUCAGUUGGCCUCUACUGCCCAUUUAGUUCUGAAUGAAUUAAAAAGAAAUACUGCAGUUUUUAAUACACUUGCCAAUAUAUGCGUAGCCUGAUAUAAUGGCUCAGUAUCCACCUUUAUACUGACCUCACUAAACAGAUCAGGUAUCAGUGUUCGAUCCACAUUCACUGCUGUUUCAAUAUAAAACUGUAAUAACAGGAUUAUAUUAACUUUUGAAUGACAACAGAGAUUAGAAUAUGCACCAAAGGAAUGAUCCCACUCAGUAAUGGGAUCAGUGUGUUCCUAAUGAGUACGCCAACGGACAGACUUUAAAGCAAAGAAUGAAACCCACCUGCAGUUUGGCGGAGGGUCCAGUGUAAUAUCAGCCAGCUCUUUCUGAAUCCUGCACACAAAAGGAAUUCAAAUUUAGUCACACUGGCAAAACAUCAUUCUUAAAUAUUAAAUAAUGAAACGCA
Long non-coding RNA from Sebastes umbrosus (honeycomb rockfish), 1628 nucleotides. RefSeq lists it as uncharacterized. The record is from RefSeq and is a predicted model, not a curated record. The transcript has 2 exons. NCBI's taxonomy places the organism in Eukaryota, Metazoa, Chordata, Actinopteri, Perciformes, Sebastidae.